AUGGGGCCCAGCCUUCUGCAGUGUGUGGCGCUUUGCCUCCUGGGAGCAGGCUGCCUGCAGGGUACCACGGUCACCCAGAACCCAAGAUUCCAGGUGGUCAGAACCGGCCAACCAGUGAACCUGAGCUGUUCUCAGACCCUGAGCCACGGCAUCAUGUACUGGUACCAGCAGAAGCCGGGCCAGGCGCCGGUGCUGCUGCUCUAUUACUAUGACCAAUACUUAACCAAGGAAAAAGGAACCCCCGACAACUUCCAGGCCAGCCGGCCUGCCCUGCCUGAAUGUCUCCUCCACCUGGGCUCGCCGGCCGUGGGGGACUCAGCCCUGUAUCUCUGUGCCAGCAGCAGAGUAAUGGAGGCCCUGAGAGGGAAGACCCAGUACGACAAGGCCUCGAACCAAAGCUACGUGGACACAGCUAUGUUUACUGGUAUCAACAGCUGCCGGGGGAAGAUCCAAAGCCUGGUGUUGGGUGGCAUCACUCAGACCCCCAAAUACCUGCUGCAAAAAGAAGGACUGGCUGUGACCCUGCAGUGCGAACAGAAUUUGAACCACGAUGCCAUGUUCUGGUACCGCCAGGACCUGGGGCGCCUCUUCUACUCAUCCGUCAGCAAGAACGUUCAGAAGGUGGAGUUGUCUGAGGGCUACAACGCCUCUCGGGACCAGAAGCCGGCCUUCCUGCUCAUAGCCAUCAGCUAG
This is a non-coding RNA of Condylura cristata (star-nosed mole), 693 nucleotides long. NCBI's taxonomy places the organism in Eukaryota, Metazoa, Chordata, Mammalia, Eulipotyphla, Talpidae. The record is from the annotation of a RefSeq genome assembly.